UACGUAGGGUGCAAGCGUUGUCCGGAAUUAUUGGGCGUAAAGAGCUCGUAGGCGGUUUGUCGCGUCGAAUGUGAAAACCCGGGGCUCAACCCCGGGCCUGCAUUCGAUACGGGCAGACUAGAGUUCGGUAGGGGAGUCUGGAAUUCCUGGUGUAGCGGUGAAAUGCGCAGAUAUCAGGAGGAACACCGGUGGCGAAGGCGGAUCUCUGGGCCUUACCUGACGCUCAGGUGCGAAAGCUAGGGGAGCGAACAGG
RNAcentral lists this ribosomal RNA (253 nucleotides) under uncultured bacterium. RNAcentral's name for it is "partial 16S ribosomal RNA". It matches the Rfam family "Bacterial small subunit ribosomal RNA", at positions 524 to 776 of the family's 1533-position model. The record is from RNAcentral.